RNAcentral lists this transfer RNA (72 nucleotides) under Bos taurus (domestic cattle). It matches the Rfam family "tRNA". Rfam says of the family: Transfer RNA (tRNA) molecules are approximately 80 nucleotides in length. Their secondary structure includes four short double-helical elements and three loops (D, anti-codon, and T loops). Further hydrogen bonds mediate the characteristic L-shaped molecular structure. tRNAs have two regions of fundamental functional importance: the anti-codon, which is responsible for specific mRNA codon recognition, and the 3' end, to which the tRNAs corresponding amino acid is attached (by aminoacyl-tRNA synthetases). tRNAs cope with the degeneracy of the genetic code in two manners: having more than one tRNA (with a specific anti-codon) for a particular amino acid; and 'wobble' base-pairing, i.e. permitting non-standard base-pairing at the 3rd anti-codon position. Lineage: Eukaryota; Metazoa; Chordata; Mammalia; Artiodactyla; Bovidae. The record is from Rfam by way of RNAcentral. RNAcentral also lists the same sequence under 1 other name.
UCCCUGGCUGUGCAAUGGUUAGGGCUUGGUGCUUUUACUGCCAGGGCCCGGGUUCAAUCCCCGGCUGGGGAA